Molecule: non-coding RNA, 883 nt
Filed under: Mespilia globulus
Lineage: Eukaryota; Metazoa; Echinodermata; Echinoidea; Temnopleuroida; Temnopleuridae
Source: RNAcentral
GUCGAUUUGGUCCUAGUCCCCCAAUUAGUUCUCUCUAAGAUGCCACAUGCAAGCUCAAUAACUAUCCAGUGAAGUAAAAAGCCAAAGAUUUCCAACCUCAAAAGAAGGAAAAAUUAGCCCCUCAGCAUCAAGCCCAAAAGAAAGCCGACAACGCUGAGCAAUACGCCACAACUGCAGUGCUAAACAUUAAACAAUUAAGAAAACUUAGAUUUAGCAAAAGAGAAAAAGGGAGGUAAAAUACGUGCCAGCCACCGCGGUUAUACGUACUUCCUAAAACUAACAACAACGGUAAAAAGGGCGGUUAAGAAAAAACUUUUAAAUUUAGCUCUAAGAAAGCGGUAAAAAGCUAACCUUAGUAGAAAACCCCAAAAUUAAUCACAAAUCCGAACCCGCGAAAGCCAAGACAUAAACCAGGAUUAGAUACCCUGUUAUACAUGGCCCUAAACCAAUAAAAACACCAGAGAAUUACAAACUAUAAGUUUAAAACUCAAAGGACUUGGCGGUUUUCCAAAUCUUCCUGGAGGAGCUUGCCGUUGAAUCGAUAAUCCACGAAACACCUCACCAUUUCUUGAAAAACCCAGCCUGUAUACCAUCGUCGUAAGUUUACUUCCCAAGAAAGUUAACAAAAAGAAAGAUACCCCAGACGUCAGAUCAAGGUGCAGCCAAUGAAAUGGGAACAGGUGAGCUACAAUGUCUUAUCAAGCCAGUGAAAGUUUUAUUGAAAUAAUUGACAGAAAUUGGAUUCAGUAGUAUUAUACAAAUAGAAAGAGGAUAAGAAAAGAGCUCUGGAAUGCGUACACAUCGCCCGUCACUCUCGCCUAGUAAACUUACAAGGGGAGAAAAGUCGUAACACAAUAGGCUCACCGGAAGGUGAGCCUGGUAA